Molecule: ribosomal RNA, 478 nt
Filed under: uncultured bacterium
Lineage: Bacteria
Description: bacterial SSU rRNA
Rfam family: Bacterial small subunit ribosomal RNA
Source: RNAcentral
GACGAACGCUGGCGGCGUGCCUAACACAUGCAAGUCAACUUGACUGAAGGAGCAAUCUGACAGUAGAGUGGCGCAAGGGUGCGUAACGCGUAAGUAACUUGCCCCAAGGUAAGGAAUAACGUCGAGAAAUCGGCGCUAAUACCUCAUAAUGCAGCGGAUCCGCAUGGAUAUGUUGUUAAAGGUUUACCGCCUUGGGAUAGGCUUGCGUCUGAUUAGCUAGUUGGUGUGGUAACGGCACACCAAGGCUACGAUCAGUAACUGGUCUGAGAGGAUGAUCAGUCACACUGGAACUGAGACACGGUCCAGACUCCUACGGGAGGCAGCAGUGAGGAAUAUUGGGCAAUGCUCGAAAGAGUGACCCAGCAACGCCGCGUGGAGGAUGAAGGUAUUCUAUAUCGUAAACUCCUGUGAGAGCAGACGAAAGAACAGAUUAUUAAUCUGGAUGACUGUAUGCUCAGAGGAAGCCCGGCUAACUACG